CUUAACACACAAAGGGCACACCAUUCCUUUUUCUGUGUAUUUGUAUUUGACCCUUAGUGGAAAUUAGAAUCCUUUAGGGUUCCUUGCUGUGUUAUAAGGAUUAACAUGUAGACCCAAUUCAAGCAAUUCUGAUUCCAAAAGCUCAACUCAAUAGAUGAAGCUAUCAAUUGAGAUAUUACGAGGAAAACACGAACGAAGGUAAGGGAGAGUUUUUAUCUUCACUAAUGUCUUCUUGCAGGUACUUUGGCAUGUUUCAGCUCGUCGAAGAAACUCCCAACUGGUGCAGUUACCUUGUUCUACGGAGGGCCCUAUACUUGCACGUCAAGGACAAAGACCAUGAACAAUGGGAGAAUAUAGUCCACACCUUGCUCAUCCCAACCCCUACUGGUUGCAGUGGUUGAAUGAAAGUGGCAAAGUAAAGGUAACCUAGUAAGUCAUGGUACCAUUCUCCAUUGGUAAGU
Molecule: long non-coding RNA, 461 nt
Filed under: Carica papaya (papaya)
Lineage: Eukaryota; Viridiplantae; Streptophyta; Magnoliopsida; Brassicales; Caricaceae
Description: long non-coding RNA (CPAP_LNC014035)
Source: RNAcentral